GGGUUGUGAGGUUAAGCGACUAAGCGUACACGGUGGAUGCCCUGGCAGUCAGAGGCGAUGAAGGACGUGCUAAUCUGCGAUAAGCGCCGGUAAGGUGAUAUGAACCGUUAUAACCGGCGAUUUCCGAAUGGGGAAACCCAGUGUGACUCGUCACACUAUCAUUAACUGAAUCCAUAGGUUAAUGAGGCGAACCGGGGGAACUGAAACAUCUAAGUACCCCGAGGAAAAGAAAUCAACCGAGAUUCCCCCAGUAGCGGCGAGCGAACGGGGAUGAGCCCAGAGCCUGAAUCAGCAUGUGUGUUAGUGGAAGCGUCUGGAAAGGCGCGCGAUACAGGGUGACAGCCCCGUACACAAAAGCGCAUAUGCUGUGAGCUCGAUGAGUAGGGCGGGACACGUGGUAUCCUGUCUGAAUAUGGGGGGACCAUCCUCCAAGGCUAAAUACUCCUGACUGACCGAUAGUGAACCAGUACCGUGAGGGAAAGGCGAAAAGAACCCCGGCGAGGGGAGUGAAAAAGAACCUGAAACCGUGUACGUACAAGCAGUGGGAGCCCCACCACUAAGCCAGUGGUGAACUCCACAUACGCAUCCUUUGCUGAGGAUGCGGUUAACGGAGCGAAAGCGACGUUCAACCGCAAAAGAAGCAGAGGGGGCUUAGUGGUGGGGUGACUGCGUACCUUUUGUA
RNAcentral lists this ribosomal RNA (682 nucleotides) under Salmonella enterica subsp. enterica serovar Schwarzengrund. RNAcentral's name for it is "bacterial LSU rRNA". It matches the Rfam family "Bacterial large subunit ribosomal RNA", at positions 1 to 612 of the family's 2925-position model. Lineage: Bacteria; Pseudomonadati; Pseudomonadota; Gammaproteobacteria; Enterobacterales; Enterobacteriaceae. The record is from RNAcentral.